GCCAGUUGUUCAGUGGUUAGAGCAUUGGCCUGAGGACCCAAAGGUCACAGGUUCGAUUCCUAGUCAAGGGCA
Myotis davidii is the source of this 72-nucleotide non-coding RNA. The record is from Rfam. NCBI's taxonomy places the organism in Eukaryota, Metazoa, Chordata, Mammalia, Chiroptera, Vespertilionidae.